AACGAACGCUGGCGGCAUGCCUAACACAUGCAAGUCGAACGAGACCUCCGGGUCUAGUGGCGCACGGGUGCGUAACGCGUGGGAACCUGCCCUUAGGUUCGGAAUACCUCCCCGUAAGGGGUGCUAAUACCGGAUAAUGUCUUCGGACCAAAGAUUUAUCGCCUUUGGAUGGGCCCGCGUUGGAUUAGCUAGUUGGUAGGGUAAAAGCCUACCAAGGCGACGAUCCAUAGCUGGUCUGAGAGGCUGAUCAGCCACGCUGGGACUGAGACACGGCCCAGACUCCUACGGGAGGCAGCAGUGGGUAAUAUUGGACAAUGGGCGAAAGCCUGAUCCAGCAAUGCCGCGUGAGUGAUGAAGGCCUUAGGGUUGUAAAGCUCUUUUACCCGGGAUGAUAAUGACAGUACCGGGAGAAUAAGCACCGGCUAACUCCGUG
RNAcentral lists this ribosomal RNA (433 nucleotides) under uncultured bacterium. Its description in RNAcentral is "partial 16S ribosomal RNA". It matches the Rfam family "Bacterial small subunit ribosomal RNA", at positions 29 to 507 of the family's 1533-position model. The record is from RNAcentral.